AUUGAACGCUGGCGGCAGGCCUAACACAUGCAAGUCGAACGGUAGCACAGAGAGCUUGCUCUCGGGUGACGAGUGGCGGACGGGUGAGUAAUGUCUGGGAAACUGCCCGAUGGAGGGGGAUAACUACUGGAAACGGUAGCUAAUACCGCAUAACGUCGCAAGACCAAAGUGGGGGACCUUCGGGCCUCGCACCAUCGGAUGUGCCCAGAUGGGAUUAGCUAGUAGGUGGGGUAAUGGCUCACCUAGGCGACGAUCCCUAGCUGGUCUGAGAGGAUGACCAGCCACACUGGAACUGAGACACGGUCCAGACUCCUACGGGAGGCAGCAGUGGGGAAUAUUGCACAAUGGACGCAAGCCUGAUGCAGCCAUGCCGCGUGUAUGAAGAAGGCCUUCGGGUUGUAAAGUACUUUCAGCGGGGAGGAAGGCGGUGGAGUUAAUAACUUCACCGAUUGACGUUACCCGCAGAAGAAGCACCGGCUAACUCCGUGCCAGCAGCCGCGGUAA
This 504-nucleotide ribosomal RNA is filed under the name uncultured bacterium. RNAcentral describes it as "partial 16S ribosomal RNA". It matches the Rfam family "Bacterial small subunit ribosomal RNA", at positions 30 to 523 of the family's 1533-position model. The record is from RNAcentral.